Maylandia zebra (zebra mbuna) is the source of this 492-nucleotide long non-coding RNA. RefSeq lists it as uncharacterized. The record is from RefSeq and is a predicted model, not a curated record. NCBI's taxonomy places the organism in Eukaryota, Metazoa, Chordata, Actinopteri, Cichliformes, Cichlidae.
CUCCCCUUUAACUUCUGCAAGAUGAGCAGGUCAGAAUUACAGCAGAGACACCAGAAGAAUCAACUACGGCUCAAACUGUGAACCUGCAAACUGUGCCUGGAGUCAGGAAGGGAAGGAGCUGGAAAGAUGGCUUCCCGUGGAAUAUAUACAGUGUCGGAGCAGUGGGAAAUGCUGUAUUUAAACAUAAAGGUACUUUAUAAAGUGUCUUGCCCAGGGUCACUGUGAUAUGUAGACUGGGUGGACCCAGGAUCUAAUUCUGGAAAAUACAGCAGCUGUAGCUAGCAGACACAGUGUGUGACAAACAGUUGUGUGUUUGAUGAUAUUUGUUGAGCUGAUGGAAAUGUUUAAUUUAAAAUGACCUUCCACAUUAAAGUGUUAUGCUGAAGUACACUGACCGCAGUUCAUGGGCAUCUGCACAGAAAACACUGUUCCAAAUGGUUCUGGCUCACUUUAACCCCUCUGUAUAGCACAAUAAAAGAUUUUGUAAAAUUA